ACGAACGCUGGCGGCGUGCCUAAUACAUGCAAGUCGAGCGGAAUGAAGAAGAAGCUUGCUUCUUCUGAUUUUAGCGGCGGACGGGUGAGUAACACGUGGGCAACCUACCUUGUAGAUUGGGAUAACUCCGGGAAACCGGGGCUAAUACCGAAUAAUCCAUUUUGCUUCAUGGCGAGAUGUUAAAAGGCGGCUUCGGCUGUCACUACGAGAUGGGCCCGCGGCGCAUUAGCUAGUUGGUAGGGUAAUGGCCUACCAAGGCGACGAUGCGUAGCCGACCUGAGAGGGUGAUCGGCCACACUGGGACUGAGACACGGCCCAGACUCCUACGGGAGGCAGCAGUAGGGAAUCUUCCACAAUGGACGAAAGUCUGAUGGAGCAACGCCGCGUGAGUGAAGAAGGUUUUCGGAUCGUAAAACUCUGUUGUAUGGGAAGAACACGUACGAGAGUAACUGCUCGUACCUUGACGGUACCUUAUUAGAAAGCCACGGCUAACUACGUG
Molecule: ribosomal RNA, 499 nt
Filed under: uncultured bacterium
Lineage: Bacteria
Description: bacterial SSU rRNA
Rfam family: Bacterial small subunit ribosomal RNA
Source: RNAcentral